Molecule: long non-coding RNA, 3708 nt
Organism: Nicotiana attenuata
Lineage: Eukaryota; Viridiplantae; Streptophyta; Magnoliopsida; Solanales; Solanaceae
Exons: 4
Source: RefSeq, a predicted model, not a curated record
GUUUUGGAAAAAAAACAAAGCUUGUCAAAGCCUUUUUGGACUCUUGCCAAAGCUUGGCACAUCUCUUUCAAAUUCAAGCUCGUUUAAUAAUCAGUGGUCUUUUACAAGUCCAAAACCCAUCAUUUUCUUGCAGACUUUUGAAGCUCUGUUCUCGUUAUUGUGAUAUCAAUUAUACUGCGUUGGUAUUUAAAUGCAUUGACUUUCCUGAUGCAUUUUCCGUUAAUACUGCUAUAAGGUCUUAUGCUUGCCGUUCUGUGCCACAUAAUGCUGUGCUAUUCUCUUCCGAAAGGCUGAAAACGGUCAUUUGCUCCUAAUAGCUUUACUUUUCCACCUCUUAUGAGCGCUUGUGCAAAUACGGGUACCGGUCGUUUGGAGUUGGGCCAGAAGUGUCAUGGCCAAUGAAAAAUGGAGUUAAUGGGGUUUUGCAGGUUCAGAAUUCUUUGGUACAUUUUUAAGCUAGUUGUGGGUUUAUUGAUCUUGCACGUCAGGCGUUUGAUGAAAUGACUGACAGGGAUGUUGUGUCUUGGAAUAGCAUUGUGAAUGGAUAUGUGAAAGCGGGUGAAUUAGUUGUUGCACGACCGUUGUUUGAUGCAAUGCCUAAGACGAAUUUGGUCGGGUGGAAUGUCAUAAUGACUGGUUACUUGGAUUCUCAUAACCUUGGCAAGUGCCUAAAGUUGUUUCGAGAAAUGGCCGAGUGGGGGUUGAAGGGUAAUGAUGCAACUAUAGUCAUUGCUCUUACUGCUUGCGCUCGGUCAGCUUGAAUGAACGAAUGAAAAUCUGUUCAUGGGUCUCUUAUUAAUGUAUCUAAAGAUUUGAAUUUGAUUAUUAGUACGACUUUGAUCCAUUUGUAUAGUAGAUGCGGAAGAGCAGAAAUUGCUCGUCUAAUUUUUGAUAGGAUGUCAGUCAAGAACAUAGUAUGCUGGAAUGCAAUGAUUUUAGGGUAUUGCAGUCGUGGAAAUUGGAAACCCAAAAGACGGGCUUAAUCUGUAUGCAGAUUUGGUGAGUAGAGAGUUAGAAGAUACAGAAAUAAAUCAUGUUAAGAACAUGAAGCAAGUUGAUGGGGAUUGUGUUCUUCCAGAUGAAAUCACUUUUGUUGGUGUCUUAUGCGCUUGUGCCCGUGAAGGACUGCUAACAGAAGCAAGAACACACUUUGGCGACAUGAGCAAUGUGUUUGGUGUGAAGCCCGAUUUCGUACAUUAUUGGUGCAUGGCUAAUCUUCUAGCACAUGUUGGUCUAAUGCAAGAGGCACUCCAAAUACUAAAGAACAUUUCGAUAGAGAGCAAUUUGCCACUGGAAUCCUCAUUGUGGUCUGAAUUGCUUGGCUCAACUCGUUUUAGAGGAGAUGUAAUUGUAGGAGAACAAAUUGCAAAUAAGUUACUUGAACAAGAUCCCGAGAAUUUUCAGUAUUAUUUAUUGCUGGUCAACAUCUAUGCUGCAGCCGGUCGUUGGGAUGAAGUAGCUCAAACAAAGGAGAUGAUGAAGAAGAGGGGGAUGGAAAGAGUGCCAGAUUGCAGUUUAAAAGACUUGAAGGAAUUAGUUCACAACAUGUUAGCCACAUAAAUUGCAGGUUGUUUAAAAGCUUAAACUCAGUAUUCAAGACCACCAGCCAAGAUGCAGAACAAAGAGGGAUAAAACAUAGAUCUUUACAUCUCCGGCAAAUGAUAAUCCCUGUCUACAAUGAAAAGCACCCAAGGGUGUAGCCCAGUUGUCAAUGAAGUGGGUGGAGAACCAUGAGGUCUCAGGUUCAAAUUCCAGUGGAGACAAACACACUAGGUUAUUUAUUCUCAUUUGUUUAAGCUUGGAGGACAAAGUUAUCGGUGUUUGUGCUGGUGGGAGGUAGCAGGUAUCCAAUGGAAUUAGUCGAGGUGUGCACAAGCUAGCCCGGACACCAUCGUUACCAAAAUAAAUAAAUAAAUAAUUUUAGCUUACCUCUGCACAUGAUUGCAGUUCUACUAUGAAUCCUUUAGAUAUUAGAUUCCAAUUUCUUUUAUCAAGAGUGCAAUGAUAAGUGAGAUUUUUGGAGACAAGAAUAUCAACUGAGUACGUUGUGUCAACAUGCUUUCUUAUUUUGAUUGAGGAGUUUGUAGAAUUGCCUGACUAAUAAAUGAAUCUCCUCGAUAGGUGAUUCAUGAAGAAUUUGUUCAGUCUUCUUUUUCCAGCAAAUUCAGAAUGUCAUCAACUUACUUUUUUUCUUUUUCUGUUUAACCAUUAUGUUCGAGGUGUGAAAGAACUUCCGCAGCUGGAACUAAAUGAGAGGAACUUAGCAAGCAGGAGAUAAACAUUCAUAUAUUUGUCAUAAUCAUCUUUUUGAAUCCAGAUGAUACAAUCAUGUUUUGGCCUUAUGUGAUAAUCAAUGAUUAGCUAUAGCGUUUGCCAUAGUUGUUGCCCGGAGCUUGCAGGAUAAACUAGAACCAUUAUCUAAUCCAAGUAGAUAGAUAGAAAGAUAGCGGACCAAAUAAUUCAGCUGCAAACUUGGCUACACAAUGGAAUUUGUUGAGGUUCAUUUGCAUUUGAGGAUUUCAAAAAGGUAUUUCUUGAUAAAGAAGCUUGACUCUUUCUGGCUGAUUUUGCAUGGAACAGCAAUCACUUUACCAUUUUAGAUGGAAAAGAAGUCACCAUUUUUCUGACAAUUUGUAAAUUUGAUGCAAAGCUAUGUUCUCUUGAUAAGUUGAAGUAUUAGAAAAUUGCAUGAGCUAUGAUGACAUUUCAACUCUGAACUAAUUUUGGAUCAAAUUGCAAUACAGAAAUUUCUCUUUGAUUUUGCAAAUAGAAGAAAAUACUAACUCAUUUGUAAUCCUUUUGCAUUGUUUCUGCCAAAGGGAACUCUUUCUGUUUCUGUUCCGUUAGAAAUACAAGAAUUGUUAUGAAUUGUCCAGAAGCUAAGAUUUUUAGUUUAAAAACUCAGGACAAAAUAAGUAUUGGCUAAUCAAUAAUAGCAUCCCUGAAAAUAGUUAUUUGUGCACUUGUCCCAAAAAUGAUAGAAACAUGACACCAUAAAGGGUGGUAUUUAACUUUGGGCCUUUGCCAUAGGUCACCAAGCCAUAACAAGUUUUGCCCAUUGGUCAGAUGACCUGUCCCAAAGGUUAAAUAUUCAACAUCAGCUCCUUUCAAGGUCAUUUGUGAACCCAGAAGUUUUAUUUUGUGUCUCUUACAACUGACACUAGUUAUAUGAGACUUCUUUUUGUCUCACAAAUUUGUGGACCCUAAUCUUACACUUUUGGGUCCACAAAAUUGUGGGUCCACAAAAUUGUGAGAUAAAAAGUUGCCUCAUACAACUAGUGUCAGUUGUAUGAGACACAAAAUAAAAUUUUUCUUUGUGAACAUAACUAUCGUUCCAUCAUGUUGGGCCCGUAAUAGUAGUAAGGGAUCUUUACACAAAUAGCCAGUUAGAUUCAUUGUCUAUAUUUUUUAUUCGGUACGCAUAGAUUAUAUACUGAUUAUAUACGGUGAUUUAUAUAUUAUACAUGGAUUAUACAUAUUAUGUAUUUGCUAGUGAUUUAUAGUUUAAGCGGUUGGAUGAGUGCCUAUUUAGGUGAAUUCUCUAUUAAUAGAAAUGCUGUAAAAGGAAAUUUAUACUUUUUUCACAAUUAACAUGGGCAGGCCGGCAGGGACAUAAAAAGUUGCUCUACUGUCAUUUUAUCUUUUGCAAAAAAGAGUUGUAUUAUCCGUCACGAACUCAUCAGUUCCUGUUAGGUAACAACGACUAGG